UAAAUAUUUUAAUCUUAAUUAUUAUUAUUUAUUAGUGGAGAUCAGCUUGUGUAAAGGAAAGAAGAGAGAACUUUUGGUCAAGUUGACCUAAGUCCAGGUCCCCACACUACUCAGGCCUCAUUUCUUCUUUGGUAAAAUGAUGUGAACUAUUCAUAGUUCAUUUGGCUAUUGUGUAAACUGAAAGGCACAAAAUAUGCUCAGUACCUAAAGAGUGCCUGGUUCAUGGAAAUGCUUAAUAAACGGCAGUUAUGGAAAUGCUUAAUAAAUAGCAGUUAAUAUUAUUAUUUCAUGUUAUGCAAGCUGAGUAAUAAUUACUAGUCUUCUUGGACCAUCCUUGCAGAGAAGGUGGUCAGAGUAAUUUUUAUUUUCUGCCAUAGAAAUUGCAAUAAGGGAAAUGUAACACUUUUCAAGGUCACCCAAUAAGUCACUCUCUGUCAUUAGGACUUAAGGGUUUUCAGCUUCCUUGUCUGAUUUCAGUCCAUUAGGCCACAAAGUCAUCAAAACAAACCAGAAAAGAGCACCAUCAAAAAGCAAAAGUAAUAAAAUCAAAGGAUCCUGGAGCAGUAUUGUACUAAAAGCCAUCUGCUAUCUUAGUCCACAUUCUCAACCCUCUUGAAAUGUUAUUUGUAAAGCUUUAAAAGGCUUGACUGGAAACCUUCAUGUCUUUUUAAAGAUACAGUAUAUCUACUGCUGACUCAUGCAUGCUGAAUUAAGAAUUGUAAUAUAGAUUUUUGAAUAUACAUCAGAGAAAUGCCAAUACUUUUUACAUUGUCAAAGCCCUUAGGCUUUUGCUGUUGAGAAAGAAGCUUUAUGAUUAGCUGAGCAAAUGAUUACUGCUGCAGAAGUAAUGGUGAGAAGAGUUUGUGUGUGUGUGUGUGUGUAUUUGUGUAUAGAAGUGUGUUCAGAAGAGUAGAGAAUUUCUGUGCCAUAAUCAGGUGAAAGAGAAAAAAAAAAAAGACACGUAACUGCUGCCUUAGCAUUUCCACUUGACUUUGGUACCUUGUCUCCCUGCCUUGCUCUGUCAGAUGCUCUUAUUCUUCCCACUCCUUUUCUCAUUUGGGCUUGGCAGGCACACUUUCGCUCAGUGCCAGUGUGGUAACCUUAUACUCGCUUACUUAAGUGGCUGAUCUCAUCUCUUCCUUUAUGUGGUUUGUGGGAUUUUUUUCCCCCUCUUUGGCUUAUUACUUCCUUCUACCACCUUGUAGAGUUGCCUUUUUCAUUGUACUUGUGUUAUUGUGUUAUCUUUUACAAAUAAAACGAUAAAUAUUUUUUAAAGUCUUUUUUUUUUUUAAACCUAAAGUCUUUUUAAUGCCAGUUGUGGGGGCAGAUAUUUUUAUGUGAACCAUAAUGAGAAAGAAAAAUGGAUUUCUCCCAGCUUUAUAUAAAGCCCCAAUGAAGUAGAGGGCAAAUUCUCAAGUUACAGGAUUCUUCUUGUCCUAUUUCUGAGGAGCAGAGCAUAAAGUUUUUUUUUUUUUUUUUUUUUUUUUUUUUUUUUNAGAGAUGGCAAAACAGGGACUCAAACCAAAGUCAUCACAAAAGGCUCCCAGUGUAGACCCAGCCAUCUGCAUAUAGUUCACAGAACUCUUCUGUUUAUUUAUGAGUCGUGGAAUGUGUAAAGCCAACUUCUAGCUGUAAAAGGACAUACAGUUGCUCUCGUAUAAUUUCUUUGGCCUCUUUUUUUUUUUCAGCAAAAUCAAGAGUUUUUUAUAUACAGGGAAACACUGCUAUGCAUAAGGGCCCAGUUUUUAGGAAUUCAUAUUCCUUUGCUAAAACACUUAAAAUGACAACUUAAAAAUAUGAGUAUAGGAUUUAAAUAACCACAGCUGAUCUUGACAUAUAUACACUGAAGUACUGUACCUGCUAAGAAUACUUUAGAAGAGCUCUAAUGUGCUUUGAAAAAGAAGCAGAAUUAAAUUGAAGAUAGAAACAUUAAUUUUCUGGUAUAACUUGGUUCUUUUCAAGAUAACAAUCUUCGAUUAAGAUAGGCACAAAAGAAGAUAAUGAAAGAAGUUAUAUGUUUUACCUUAAGACUUAACAAUCUUCUUGAUAGUAAGAUUUUUCCAGAGGUCUUUAUAGGGAAAAAUGAUUUCAAAUUUCAUCAUGAUACAAUGAGUUCAAGGAGCUAAAUUGUUUAUACAUUAAAAAAUUACAUGUCUCUGCCAUUCUUGCUCUGCAGCUCUAGGCUCUAUCUUUCUAGUUAAAAAGAACAUUAUGUUUUGCAGGCCAGCAACUUCCUUGAUAUGAUGUUUUAGCUUAAUCUAAACAUUACCCUCUAGACAUUCUAAGAAAGUUGCUUUUCUGACAUGAUGUGAUUUUAUGAUCUUGUUGAAACAUUUUCAGCCUUAAACAUUACACACAAAUAGAUGGAAAUAAGUGAUAGCUUGAAUGUCUGACCUCUACAUGUGAGUUUGGAGUUACCCCCCCAAAUACGUGAAAAUGUAAAAUGAUACCUAUUCUCAGAAAUAGAAAAAUAUAAACAAAUGCCAAACAAGGCCAGGCCAGAGUUCUGUAACUCCAAAUUCUCUUUGUUUCCUUAUAAUUUCCAGUGGAUCUUGGGUAACAUUUAGGGAUGAAUAGUGUAUAUACAAAGGAGAGGUUACCACUCACAAAAAAACGAUGGAGUGAGUUUAAUAUUCUCUAGAAUAUUCUCUAUACAUUUAAGACCUUAAUCACUAGGGGAGGUGUCAACAGGUAAACAUAUUUUCUUCAAGAAUGCAAAAUCUGGGAACAGAGUUUCUUAAAUUUGGAGGGAGAAAGACAAAGACCAUUGGUCAUAUGAGUUGGCUGUGAGGAUGAGGGGUGAGCUUGGUGUGAAAAACAAAUGUUAUUAAUAAACACUGAGCUUUGGAGUUCCCAUCAUGGCUCAGUGGUUAACAAACCCGGCUAAUAUCCAUGAGGAUUCGGGUUCGAUCCCAGGCCUCGCUCAGUGGGUUAAGGAUCCAGUGUUGCCUUGUGCUGUGGUGUAGGUCACAGAUGUGGCUCAGAUCCCACACUGCUGUGGCUGUGGUGUAGGCUGGCAGCCAUUGCUCCUAUUUGACCCCUAGCCUGGGAACCUCCAUAGCCCCUAAAAAGUCAAAACAAGAAAACCAAAAAAAAAAAAAAAAACCCUGAUUUUUUUUUUUUUUUUGGUCUCUGCUUUUAGCAGUAAUCUCAUCUACCUUAUAAUAUGUUAGGAGGAACUAUAAACCCACUGGAAAUAAUUCCUUUAUCACUUGUAAUACUGUAUAUGGUGCUCUAUAUACUAGGUUGGAACCCCAGAAAUGACUUGCCCCUGAGCAGUGCAGACAUUUUUUGAAUAUAUAAAACACCUACUUACAGCAUAUAAAGAUCCAUGCCAAUAGAUGCCCAAUUGUCCUUUCCUCUAAGGAUCCUAUCCCUUUUUAUUCAUUCUAAUAAUACCCUUUUCUUCUCUUUUGAAACACUUUUCACAUUUGCAAUUUGUAAUUUCUUUGUGGGAUCUGUUUUCUGUCCCAGAGUUUAGGUCUUAUAAUGGAGGAGACCAUGAAUAUAUAUAUUCAACAUCAUAUCCACAGGACACACAGGCAUCCCAAUAAAUACCUUCUUGAAUGGGUAGAUGUAUGGAUGAAUGGAUGAAUGAGUGACAGUUAUAUACAGUGUGACAUGGUACACUUUGUAGGGAAUGUGAGAUUGAAGGGGAACAGGUGGGGAAGGCAGAUUUUGAAAACCUGGAAUACCAAAGAUAGUAGAUUAUAUUUGGUAGGAGGUGAAGGACUUUUAGCAGCAAUGUGACACAGUCAGGCAGAUGCUUUAGCAGACCACCGUGAAGGUUAUAUGGAGGCAUAAUCACAAGAGAGAGGGCAACAUGGAGAGUAUUGGAAGUAUGUCUUAGUAGUUACCAAGUACUCUUUUAUUUGUUUUCAUAGGAUUUACUUCUCCCUGAUAUUUGCUUAUUUAUACAUUUAUUAUCUAUCGAACUCUGCUUACCCUUCCUUGAGAGAAGAGAUAGUGUCUGUCUCAUUCAAUGAUGUAGCCCCAGCAGUUAAAACUCCUGGCAUUAGUUAAGCCUUAACUAAUGUUUAUUGAGUAAUAAUGAAUAGUUUUUUUAAGCACUUCCAACAUAUUUAGGGAGCCAUUUAUAAAUGUCUGCUGAGCUAUACAGUAUAUCUUAUUUCUACCUAUCCAUUUCUAUCUUCCAUUCUGAGGGGAUUGGAAAAUUUAAAUACAAAAGACACAAUUCUUCUAGUUGGGGAUGUAGCAAUUAUUUCCAAAGACUCACAAUUUCUGAGUUCUGACUUCACUUUUUUCAGCUUGUGUUCUAUUAGACAUGAGGUAAACAAACAAACAAAAACCCACUCAAGCUAAUUUUAACGCAUAAUCUAAGGAAUGAACUUGCUUCUUCUGCAGCCCCUUAGAUUUUAUUCUCUAGAGAUUUGUGGUACAUUUGGGCUGAGAUUGCAAUUUACCUUUUCAUCAAGAUUAGAAUAGCCUCUUCUUAUCAGCACAAGAAUCUAUUUAAAUAAGUUUAAGACUGCACUUUCUCUUAGUGGCAAAAAUAUACUUCUCUGCACCCAGGCAUUUAAAAUUCUUUCAAAAUCUCAUGCAGAAAUUCACAGUGAUGAUUUUCUUGUAGGUCUCUGUUACAAAAGAAAUCAUAGUAUCAAGAAGCAAAUGAAAUGACCUUGACAACUAAAUUCUAUUUUCUAUUAAAAUAUGGCUCUCUUGUAUUCAAAUGUCCAGGAGUUUUCUCAGCCGGAAAGUUGGGGAAAUCAUUUUAUUUACGUGUGUGGCUCAUUUUGAGUCUACAUUGUGGAUGAUUCCCAAACACUGGAUUCUUAUAUGUAACAUGUGGACAUGUUUAUUAGCUCCUACUAAAUAAACACAGACCAAUUAAGCAUGAACAAUAUGAUCUGAAAAAUUAGAAAUUUGUGUAGAGUUUUCCUGGAUUUUGUAGUAUUACC
This 4919-nucleotide long non-coding RNA is filed under the name Sus scrofa (pig). RNAcentral's name for it is "lncRNA (ENSSSCG00060059392.1)". Lineage: Eukaryota; Metazoa; Chordata; Mammalia; Artiodactyla; Suidae. The record is from RNAcentral.